Centropristis striata (black sea bass) is the source of this 400-nucleotide long non-coding RNA. RefSeq lists it as uncharacterized. Lineage: Eukaryota; Metazoa; Chordata; Actinopteri; Perciformes; Serranidae. The record is from RefSeq and is a predicted model, not a curated record. The transcript is spliced from 3 exons.
UGUGUAUCUGUUGUACUCAUAUAAAUUGCAAAUGACAGUAAUGUUGUCUUUCAGAUUAACACAGUGGGUACUAAAAUUUACGGAUCAUCUUACAGCCGCUCCAUCAUUAACUCAUUUACGAGUGGAUCUGUGAAAGUCGAAUCAACCCUUGUGUUCAAAGAUAAGAGCUCAGUUCCUUCUGCAAGCAAUGCAACUUCAGAAUUCAGCAGCGAGCUUACUAGCAGUUCCACCUCCCUGAACAUUGUCUCUGGCAGCGUUAGUGCAACUUCUACUUCAACUGCAUCCACUGCUGCACCUACUACAGCUGCCCCUACCGCAGCCCCUACUGCAGCUCCUACUGCAGCUCCUAACGCUACAGAAGCUCCAACUGCGGCUCCUAACGCUACAGAAGCUCCAACUG